This 261-nucleotide ribosomal RNA is filed under the name uncultured archaeon. RNAcentral describes it as "partial 16S ribosomal RNA". It matches the Rfam family "Archaeal small subunit ribosomal RNA", at positions 748 to 1009 of the family's 1478-position model. The record is from RNAcentral.
CAGCCGUAAACAAUGUGCGUUAGGUGUGUCGGUAACCACGUGUUACUGAUGCGCCGAAGAGAAAUCGUGAAACGCACCACCUGGGAAGUGCGGUCGCAAGGCUGAAACUUAAAGGAAUUGGCGGGGGAGCACCACAACAGGUGGAGCCUGCGGUUUAAUUGGAUUCAACGCCGGACAUCUCACCGGAUAAGACAGCUGAAUGAUUGUCAAUCUGAAGGUUUUACAUGACUAGCUGAGAGGUGGUGCAUGGCGUAGACGUCU